AGAGACAGCAGCCGCCGCGGGAAUACGGAGGAUCCAAGCGUUAUCCGGAAUCAUUGGGUUUAAAGGGUCCGUAGGCGGUCUUGUAAGUCAGUGGUGAAAGCCCAUCGCUCAACGGUGGAACGGCCAUUGAUACUGCAGGACUUGAAUUAUUGGGAAGUAACUAGAAUAUGUAGUGUAGCGGUGAAAUGCUUAGAGAUUACAUGGAAUACCAAUUGCGAAGGCAGGUUACUACCAAUUGAUUGACGCUGAUGGACGAAAGCGUGGGUAGCGAACAGGAUUAGAUACCCGGGUAGUCCCUGUCUCUUAUAC
RNAcentral lists this ribosomal RNA (309 nucleotides) under uncultured bacterium. RNAcentral's name for it is "partial 16S ribosomal RNA". It matches the Rfam family "Bacterial small subunit ribosomal RNA", at positions 504 to 807 of the family's 1533-position model. The record is from RNAcentral.